CAAUAGCGUAUAUUAAAGUUGUUGCGGUUAAAAAGCUCGUAGUUGGAUUUCUGCCGAAGACGACCGGUCCGCCCUCUGGGUGAGUAUCUGGCUCGGCUUGGGCAUCUUCUUGGAGAACGUAGCUGCACUUGACUGUGUGGUGCGGUAUCCAGGACUUUUACUUUGAGGAAAUUAGAGUGUUUCAAGCAGGCAUCCGCCUUGAAUACAUUAGCAUGGAAUAAUAAGAUAGGACCUCGGUUCUAUUUUGUUGGUUUCUAGAGCUGAGGUAAUGAUUAAUAGGGAUAGUUGGGGGCAUUCGUAUUUAACUGUCAGAGGUGAAAUUCUUGGAUUUAUGAAAGAUGAACUUAGGCGAAAGCAUUUACCAAGGAUGUUUUCAUUAAUCAAGAACGAAAGUUAGGGGAUCGAAGACGAUCAGAUACCGU
This 422-nucleotide ribosomal RNA is filed under the name uncultured eukaryote. RNAcentral's name for it is "SSU rRNA". It matches the Rfam family "Eukaryotic small subunit ribosomal RNA", at positions 592 to 1018 of the family's 1831-position model. The record is from RNAcentral.